CCUACGGGAGGCAGCAGUGGGGAAUAUUGGACAAUGGGCGAAAGCCUGAUCCAGCAAUGCCGCGUGAGUGAUGAAGGCCUUAGGGUUGUAAAGCUCUUUUACCAGGGAUGAUAAUGACAGUACCUGGAGAAUAAGCUCCGGCUAACUCCGUGCCAGCAGCCGCGGUAAUACGGAGGGAGCUAGCGUUGUUCGGAAUUACUGGGCGUAAAGCGUACGUAGGCGGUUAUUCAAGUCAGAGGUGAAAGCCUGGAGCUCAACUCCAGAACUGCCUUUGAAACUAGAUAGCUAGAAUCUUGGAGAGGUGAGUGGAAUUCCGAGUGUAGAGGUGAAAUUCGUAGAUAUUCGGAAGAACACCAGUGGCGAAGGCGACUCACUGGACAAGUAUUGACGCUGAGGUACGAAAGCGUGGGGAGCAAACAGGAUUAGAUACCCUGGUAGUCCACGCCGUAAACGAUGAUAACUAGCUGUUCGGGCUCUACGAGCUUGAGUGGCGCAGCUACGCAUUAAGUUAUCCGCCGUCGGGAGGUACGGUCGCGAGAAUUAAACUAACAAAGAAGUUAGACGGCGUGAGACGUGCCGAACGGACGACGACGAGGGAGGUAGG
Molecule: ribosomal RNA, 604 nt
Filed under: uncultured bacterium
Lineage: Bacteria
Description: bacterial SSU rRNA
Rfam family: Bacterial small subunit ribosomal RNA (bases 1-517)
Source: RNAcentral